UGUCCCCGUCCUCUGUAUUCCCAGGACUGUCCAGAGGAGAAGGUCCCAGAGAAUCCUCAGAUGACAAAUCAGGAGGAAGAUCUGACUGAUAUUAAAGUGGAGGAUGAAGAAGAGAGGAUGAUGAGUGAUCCCCUAUGUAAGAGUGAGGUGGAGGAGGACAUUCCUGGACAUGUCACUACAGGAAAUCCCAGUAGGAAUUCUGAAGGAAACUUCAUGUUAUCACUAAAUUAUAAUGAAGAUGAAGAUAUCAUGCAGCGCUCUUCAGGAG
Long non-coding RNA from Bufo bufo (common toad), 268 nucleotides. RefSeq lists it as uncharacterized. The record is from RefSeq and is a predicted model, not a curated record. NCBI's taxonomy places the organism in Eukaryota, Metazoa, Chordata, Amphibia, Anura, Bufonidae. The transcript is spliced from 3 exons.